This 372-nucleotide ribosomal RNA is filed under the name uncultured organism. RNAcentral describes it as "bacterial SSU rRNA". It matches the Rfam family "Bacterial small subunit ribosomal RNA", at positions 526 to 896 of the family's 1533-position model. The record is from RNAcentral.
CGUAGGAGGCAAGCGUUAUCCGGAUUCACUGGGCGUAAAGCGCAUGCAGGUGGCGCGGUAAGUUAGGCGUGAAAUCUCCCGGCUCAACUGGGAGAGGUCGUCUAAUACUACCGUGCUUGAGAGCAGAAGAGGAAGAUGGAAUUCCCGGUGUAGUGGUGAAAUGCGUAGAUAUCGGGAGGAACACCAGUGGCGAAGGCGAUCUUCUGGUCUGUUUCUGACACUCAGACGCGACAGCUAGGGUAGUAAACGGGAUUAGAGACCCCGGUAAUCCUAGCCGUAAACGAUGUGAACUUGGCGUUGGUGGGUUAAACUCCAUCAGUGCCGUAGCAAACGCGAUAAGUUCACCGCCUGGGGACUACGGCCGCAAGGUUA